AGCGUUGUUCGGAAUUACUGGGCGUUAAGCGUACGUAGGCGGCUUUGUAAGUUAGAGGUGAAAGCCCGGGGCUCAACUCCGGAAUUGCCUUUAAGACUGCAUCGCUUGAAUCAUGGAGAGGUUAGUGGAAUUCCGAGUGUAGAGGUGAAAUUCGUAGAUAUUCGGAAGAACACCAGUGGCGAAGGCGACUAACUGGACAUGUAUUGACGCUGAGGUACGAAAGCGUGGGGAGCAAACAGGAUUAGAUACCCUGGUAGUCCACGCCGUAAACGAUGAUGACUAGCUGUCGGGGCGCUUAGCGUUUCGGUGGCGCAGCUAACGCGUUAAGUCAUCCGCCUGGGGAGUACGGCCGCAAGGUUAAAACUCAAAGAAAUUGACGGGGGCCUACACAAGCGGUGGAGCAUGUGGUUUAAUUCGAAGC
This 421-nucleotide ribosomal RNA is filed under the name uncultured Alphaproteobacteria bacterium. RNAcentral describes it as "bacterial SSU rRNA". It matches the Rfam family "Bacterial small subunit ribosomal RNA", at positions 537 to 957 of the family's 1533-position model. The record is from RNAcentral. Lineage: Bacteria; Pseudomonadati; Pseudomonadota; Alphaproteobacteria.